Molecule: ribosomal RNA, 505 nt
Filed under: uncultured bacterium
Lineage: Bacteria
Description: partial 16S ribosomal RNA
Rfam family: Bacterial small subunit ribosomal RNA
Source: RNAcentral
GACGAACGCUGGCGGCGUGCCUAAUACAUGCAAGUAGAACGCACAGUUUAUACCGUAGCUUGCUACACCAUAGACUGUGAGUUGCGAACGGGUGAGUAACGCGUAGGUAACCUGCCUGGUAGCGGGGGAUAACUAUUGGAAACGAUAGCUAAUACCGCAUAAUAUUAAUUAUUGCAUGAUAAUUAAUUGAAAGGUGCAAUUGCACCACUACCAGAUGGACCUGCGUUGUAUUAGCUAGUAGGUGAGGUAACGGCUCACCUAGGCGACGAUACAUAGCCGACCUGAGAGGGUGAUCGGCCACACUGGGACUGAGACACGGCCCAGACUCCUACGGGAGGCAGCAGUAGGGAAUCUUCGGCAAUGGACGAAAGUCUGACCGAGCAACGCCGCGUAAGUGAAGAAGGUUUUCGGAUCGUAAAGCUCGGUUGUAAGAGAAGAACGGGUGUGAGAGUGGAAAGUUCACACUGUGACGGUAUCUUACCAGAAAGGGACGGCUAACUACGUG